CUAGCCCAAACACCACGAACCUAGCUGAGCGCCAGGAAAUAAACCGAAACAUUUAGUUACUUUAUUAAAGUAUAGGAGAUAGAAAUUUAACUUGGCGCUAUAGAGAAAGUACCGCAAGGGAAAGAUGAAAGAUAAAAUUAAAAGCACCACACAGCAAAGAUUACCCCUUGUACCUUUUGCAUAAUGAAUUAGCUAGAACAACCUAGCAAAGAGAACUUCAGCUAGGCCCCCCGAAACCAGACGAGCUACCCAUGAACAAUCUAUUACAGGAUGAACUCAUCUAUGUUGCAAAAUAGUGAGAAGAUUUGUGGGUAGAGGUGAAAAGCCUAACGAGCCUGGUGAUAGCUGGUUGCCCAGAACAGAAUCUUAGUUCAACUUUAAACUUGCCUCAAAACCCCCAAAAUUCCAAUGUAAGUUUAAAAUAUAGUCUAAAAAGGUACAGCUUUUUAGAAUUAGGAUACAGCCUUUAUUAGAGAGUAAGCACAAACAUAAA
RNAcentral lists this ribosomal RNA (493 nucleotides) under Leopardus pardalis (ocelot). RNAcentral describes it as "partial 16S ribosomal RNA". The stretch from base 153 to 493 matches the Rfam family "Bacterial large subunit ribosomal RNA", at positions 569 to 1057 of the family's 2925-position model. Lineage: Eukaryota; Metazoa; Chordata; Mammalia; Carnivora; Felidae. The record is from RNAcentral.